AGAUGGAUCAUUCACAAUGAAUUUUACCAACUCUGGUGCAUGCAUGCAUGCAAAAAAAAAAAAAGAAAAUUUUUUUUUUCUGACUUGGACCAAACGAACUGAAAGCAAUUGGACGUGGGCCAAACGAACUCAAAGCAAUUGGUAGCUAACACAAAUCAGAGUAUAUAAUUAAUUUCACGACUUUCAGCGAUGGAUGUCUCGGAUCUCGUAACGAUGAAGGACGCAGCUAGCUGCGAUACGCAGUGUGACUUGCAAACUUCUGAGAAUCACUAGAUUUUUGAACGCAAACGGCACUCUUGGGCUCUGCUCAGGAGUAUGCUCACUUCAGUGCUUUAUAUGUUUGUUGUCUUAAUUGGUAGACAACGUGGAUAGUCGCUGUUCUUACGGCCUCUGAAAUCGAAUGGUCUUCGACUCUUUGGUGAACCCAUAGAGACACGGAUCAAGUUGUUAUUCUAACAAGCCUGAAUUUGAGCAAGGCUACCCGCUGAAUUUAAGCAUAUUAUUAAGCGGAGGAAGAGAAACUAACUAGGAUUCCCUUAGUAACGGCGAGUGAACAGGGAAGAGCUCAAACUGAAAAUCGGCAGCUUGCUGUUGAAUUGUAGUCUCGCGAAGUGCAACCUGUGUUUGUUUCUGGGCUAAGUCUCUUGGAAAAGAGUACCAAAGAGGGUGAAAGUCCCGUCUUUGCCCAGACCUAUUCACGUUCGGUGCAUUUUCAAAGAGUCGCGUUCCUUGCGAUUGGAGCGCUAAGUGGGUGAUAAAUUUCAUCUAAAGCUAAAUACUAACGAGAUUCCGAUAGCAUACAAGUACCGUGAGGGAAAGAUGAAAAGGACUUUGAAAAGAGAGUUAAAAGGAACUGAAAUCGCUGAAAGGGAAGCGGAGAGUCUCGACUGUCCUGCAAUUCUGGGAGUUUGACUUAGUUAUAUUUAACUGGUUUUGAACGCUAGAGAUCUGCGGUUGACGCUGGGAGAGAUCGUUCGAAUCGAGCAAGCCAAAUGUGUGUUCCCCAUUGGGGUCACUUUCUUGUUGUUUUCGUUUCUUCUGAUCUGUGGCUCUAUUGGGACACUUUAAUGGUCGCAAUAUAGUACCCCAGAAAUGUCGUUUCCCUCCGUCCCGUCUUGAAACACGGACCAAGGAGUCUAACUUAUGUGCGAGUACAAGGGUGGAAAACCCACGUGCGAAAUGAAAGUAAUUGUCAGGAAGGGUAACCUGCACUGACACCCGGCUACCAAGCUGAGGUUGAGCAUAUAGGUUAGGACCCGAAAGAUGGUGAACUAUGCCUGAGUAGGGUGAAGCCAGAGGAAACUCUGGUGGAGGCUCGUAGCGAUACUGACGUGCAAAUCGUUCGUCAAACUUGGGUAUAGGGGCGAAAGACUAAUCGAACCAUCUAGUAGCUGGUUCCCUC
RNAcentral lists this unclassified non-coding RNA (1402 nucleotides) under uncultured fungus. RNAcentral describes it as "sequence contains 18S rRNA gene, ITS1, 5.8S rRNA gene, ITS2, 28S rRNA gene". The stretch from base 458 to 1402 matches the Rfam family "Eukaryotic large subunit ribosomal RNA", at positions 1 to 961 of the family's 3401-position model. The record is from RNAcentral. Lineage: Eukaryota; Fungi.